RNAcentral lists this ribosomal RNA (253 nucleotides) under uncultured bacterium. RNAcentral describes it as "partial 16S ribosomal RNA". It matches the Rfam family "Bacterial small subunit ribosomal RNA", at positions 524 to 776 of the family's 1533-position model. The record is from RNAcentral.
UACGGAGGAUGCAAGCGUUAUCCGGAAUGAUUGGGCGUAAAGCGUCCGCAGGUGGCUAUGUAAGUCUGCUGUUAAAGAGUGAGGCUCAACCUCAUAAGAGCAGUGGAAACUACAUGGCUAGAGUGUGGUAGGGGUAGAGGGAAUUCCCGGUGUAGCGGUGAAAUGCGUAGAUAUCGGGAAGAACACCAGUGGCGAAGGCGCUCUACUGGGCCACAACUGACGCUGAGGGACGAAAGCUAGGGGAGCGAAAGGG